Molecule: ribosomal RNA, 468 nt
Filed under: uncultured bacterium
Lineage: Bacteria
Description: partial 16S ribosomal RNA
Rfam family: Bacterial small subunit ribosomal RNA
Source: RNAcentral
GACGAACGCUGGCGGCGUGCUUAACACAUGCAAGUCGAACGGAAAGGCCCUGCUUUUUUGGGGUUCUCGAGUGGCGAACGGGUGAGUAACACGUGAGUAACCUGCCCUUGACUUUGGGAUAACUUCAGGAAACUGGGGCUAAUACCGUAUAGGAUCUCCUGCUGCAUGGUGGGGGUUGGAAAGUUUCGGCGGUUGGGGAUGGACUCGCGGCUUAUCAGCUUGUUGGUUGGGUAGUUGCUUACCAAGGCUUUGACGGGUAGCCGGCCUGAGAGGGUGACCGGCCACAUGGGGACUGAGAUACGGCCCAGAGUGCUACGGGAGGCAGCAGUGGGGAAUAUUGCCCAAUGGGAGGAAGCCUGAUGAAGAAACGUCGCGUGCGGGAUGACGGCCUUCGGGUUGUAAAACGCUUUAGCCUGUGACGAAGCGUGAGUGACGGUAAUGAGUAAAGAAGCACCGGCUAACUACGUG